ACUAAGUAUCAACAACGGAUCUCUUGGCUCUCGCAUCGAUGAAGAACGCAGCGAAAUGCGAUAAGUAAUGUGAAUUGCAGAAUUCAGUGAAUCAUCGAAUCUUUGAACGCACCUUGCGCUCCUUGGUAUUCCUUGGAGCAUGCCUGUUUGAGUAUCAUGAAAU
This 163-nucleotide ribosomal RNA is filed under the name Ceratobasidium sp. AG-A. RNAcentral describes it as "5.8S ribosomal RNA". It matches the Rfam family "5.8S ribosomal RNA". From Rfam's summary of the family: 5.8S ribosomal RNA (5.8S rRNA) is a component of the large subunit of the eukaryotic ribosome. It is transcribed by RNA polymerase I as part of the 45S precursor that also contains 18S and 28S rRNA. Lineage: Eukaryota; Fungi; Basidiomycota; Agaricomycetes; Cantharellales; Ceratobasidiaceae. The record is from RNAcentral.